Molecule: ribosomal RNA, 107 nt
Filed under: Candidatus Roizmanbacteria bacterium RIFCSPHIGHO2_02_FULL_43_11
Lineage: Bacteria; Candidatus Roizmaniibacteriota
Also listed under: 2 other names
Source: RNAcentral
UUUGGUUAUUUGAGCGACUGGGAACCACCCUUCCCCAUUCCGAACAAGGACGUGAAACCGGUCAGCGCCGACGAUACUCAUCAGGGGACAAUAGGUCAUAGCCAGGG